Molecule: long non-coding RNA, 296 nt
Filed under: Triticum aestivum (bread wheat)
Lineage: Eukaryota; Viridiplantae; Streptophyta; Magnoliopsida; Poales; Poaceae
Description: long non-coding RNA (TAES_LNC020195)
Source: RNAcentral
AAUUGUUAAAUGUCAGCAUUUUGCUGAAGAACUGAAGGACAAUGCGACAACUUUUUUAUAAACUAAUGUCCAAGUUGUCUGAAUCUACAACUUGUGAAGUCAUAAAGGGAAAACAAAAAGCUUGGACAAAACAUCAGAUUAAAGAAAUAUUCAAUCUAACAUGAAACAUAACUCGAGAAAUAUUCAAUCUAACAAUGAAACAUAACUUGAGAAAUAUUCAAUCUAACAAUGAAACAUAACUUAAGAAGUGUCCAAUCUAACAUGAAAUAUAACUGCAGUAAGAGUUAACAGUAAGU